AUGUAAAGGAGGAAUUUUGACAUGUCUCUUUGUAUGUCUAUGUAGAAAGACAGUUUCUGUUUGAUCAAUUGUUGUCUAUUGAAUAUAGAUGUCUUGAUCAUAUGUGUCACAAUAUUUGUUUAGACAUUUUUACAUGUAAUUAGCUAGUUUUUUUUAAAAACAAAAAGUGUAGCACUUGUCCCCGUUGGUGUAAACUCUGAACUUGUAAAUUAUUGUUUGGGAAUAGUGUCAUUAAUAAAAUGCAACUUUUUUUUCAAGCAAGUUUAAACAAUAGGGCAUAUGCUUGUAG
This 289-nucleotide long non-coding RNA is filed under the name Trifolium pratense (red clover). RNAcentral describes it as "long non-coding RNA (TPRA_LNC001247)". The record is from RNAcentral. Lineage: Eukaryota; Viridiplantae; Streptophyta; Magnoliopsida; Fabales; Fabaceae.